UGCUGAAGGAGGCACUCGGCAUCAUCGGC
Molecule: non-coding RNA, 29 nt
Filed under: Homo sapiens (human)
Lineage: Eukaryota; Metazoa; Chordata; Mammalia; Primates; Hominidae
Source: RNAcentral